GACGAACGCUGGCGGCGUGCUUAACACAUGCAAGUCGAACGGAAAGGCCCUGCUUUUGUGGGGUGCUCGAGUGGCGAACGGGUGAGUAACACGUGAGUAACCUGCCCUUGACUUUGGGAUAACUUCAGGAAACUGGGGCUAAUACCGGAUAGGAGCUCCUGUUGCAUGGUGGGGGUUGGAAAGUUUCGGCGGUUGGGGAUGGACUCGCGGCUUAUCAGCUUGUUGGUGGGGUAGUGGCUUACCAAGGCUUUGACGGGUAGCCGGCCUGAGAGGGUGACCGGCCACAUUGGGACUGAGAUACGGCCCAGACUCCUACGGGAGGCAGCAGUGGGGAAUAUUGCACAAUGGGCGGAAGCCUGAUGCAGCAACGCCGCGUGCGGGAUGACGGCCUUCGGGUUGUAAACCGCUUUCGCCUGUGACGAAGCGUGAGUGACGGUAAUGGGUAAAGAAGCACCGGCUAACCACGUG
RNAcentral lists this ribosomal RNA (468 nucleotides) under uncultured bacterium. Its description in RNAcentral is "partial 16S ribosomal RNA". It matches the Rfam family "Bacterial small subunit ribosomal RNA", at positions 28 to 507 of the family's 1533-position model. The record is from RNAcentral.